RNAcentral lists this ribosomal RNA (253 nucleotides) under uncultured bacterium. RNAcentral's name for it is "partial 16S ribosomal RNA". It matches the Rfam family "Bacterial small subunit ribosomal RNA", at positions 524 to 776 of the family's 1533-position model. The record is from RNAcentral.
UACGGAGGGUGCAAGCGUUAUCCGGAUUCACUGGGUUUAAAGGGUGCGUAGGCGGGUUGGUAAGUCCGUGGUGAAAUCCCCAAGCUUAACUUGGGAACUGCCGUGGAUACUAUCAAUCUUGAAUAUCGUGGAGGUAAGCGGAAUAUGUCAUGUAGCGGUGAAAUGCUUAGAUAUGACAUAGAACACCAAUUGCGUGGGCAGCUUACUACACGAUCAUUGACGCUGAGGCACGAAAGCGUGGGGAGCAAACAGG